RNAcentral lists this ribosomal RNA (108 nucleotides) under Chelonia mydas (Green sea turtle). The record is from RNAcentral. Lineage: Eukaryota; Metazoa; Chordata; Testudines; Cheloniidae.
GCCUACGGCCAUACCGGACCGAACGCCCCCAAUCCCAUCCGAUCUCGGAAGGUAAACCGUCCCGGGCCUGGCUAGGUGACCGCCUGGGAAUCCCAGGUGCCGUAGGCU